UACGGGUGAAAGCGGAGGACCUUCGGGCUUCGCGCGAUUGAAUGAGCCGAUGUCGGAUUAGCUAGUUGGCGGGGUAAAGGCCCACCAAGGCGACGAUCCGUAGCUGGUCUGAGAGGAUGAUCAGCCACACUGGAACUGAGACACGGUCCAGACUCCUACGGGAGGCAGCAGUGGGGAAUUAUUGGACAAUGGGCGCAAGCCUGAUCCAGCCAUGCCGCGUGGGUGAAGAAGGCCUUCGGGUUGUAAAGCCCUUUUGUUGGGAAAGAAAAGCAGUCGGUUAAUACCCGAUUGUUCUGACGGUA
Molecule: ribosomal RNA, 302 nt
Filed under: Xanthomonas oryzae
Lineage: Bacteria; Pseudomonadati; Pseudomonadota; Gammaproteobacteria; Lysobacterales; Lysobacteraceae
Also listed under: 1 other name
Description: bacterial SSU rRNA
Rfam family: Bacterial small subunit ribosomal RNA
Source: RNAcentral